UAGCCAACCACCUGUCAUAUUUGACCAUUCUCCUCGCCUUUCUUCUUCUCUCUCUCCUCCAUUUACUUUUUCUCCAAAUCGAAACACACAAAGAGGAGAGACAGACACCUCUUCUCAGACUAAGGGAUUCUUUUCUUUGGUCGAGUUAGGAGGACCCAAAUUGACAAUAAUCGAAUCAAAGACACUUAAUUAUGUCGUGCGACAAGAUUGAUGGGCUCGCGAGGUGGUUCGGGACGAGUGUUGCUUCGGCAUUCUUUGCCUCGUUGGAGCGAUGCGCGUGCGUCAAUCUCACCACCUACGCAUCUGAUGAUGAGGAAGAGGAAGAAGCUAAAGAUCGCCCCUUGUUUAUGAACAAUUUGCCUUCUCAUGUUGAUCCUUGUCCUCACUCUAACAUUUCUGCCUCCUCCGUCGAUAAUUGACUCUCCUCUCCUCUCCUGCAGAAAAAUGGUUUAAGGAACAAAUGAAGAGAAUGGAGUUAUUGGAUUAAUGGACUUGUGGUUCUAAGUGCAUCUAUAGAGGAGCUAUCUCUCAUAGUUGGUUGGACACUGGAUCUGUUAAAUAGAACAAAGAUUUCUUUGAAAACUAACUUGGGCUGUUAGAGAAUUGGCAUGGCAGGCUUGUUUCAUUCUUAGUGCCAUAUUGCUAAUGCUUCCUGGUGUGCAUAAAAGGAAAAAAAGAUUUGUUAUUUACUUCCAAAUGUUUCCUUUAGGAACUCCAUUGUAGCACAGGGAGUUUGCACAAUGUAUCGUAAAAGAAUCCGAUUCACAUAGAUAAUAGCGAUUUAUCAUCAGAUUUCUUUGUUUAAAUAUAAGAUCAUCUGUUGUAGUUGGACA
This is a non-coding RNA of Nicotiana tabacum (common tobacco), 833 nucleotides long. The record is from RefSeq and is a predicted model, not a curated record. Lineage: Eukaryota; Viridiplantae; Streptophyta; Magnoliopsida; Solanales; Solanaceae.